GACGAACGCUGGCGGCGUGCUUAACACAUGCAAGUCGAACGAUGAAGAAAAGAAUUGAAGCUUCGGCAGAAAUUCAUUUCGGAUUAGUGGCAGACGGGUGAGUAACGCGUGAGCAACCUACCUCUUACAAAGGGAUAGCCUCGGGAAACCGGGAUUAAUACCAUAUAACAUUGCGACGAAGCAUUUCGAUGCAAUCAAAGCUACGGCGGUAAGAGAUGGGCUCGCGUCCCAUUAACCAGAUGGUGAGGUAACGGCUCACCAUAGUAACGAUGGGUAACCGGCCUGAGAGGGUGAACGGUCACACUGGAACUGAGACACGGUCCAGACUCCUACGGGAGGCAGCAGUGGGGAAUUUUGCACAAUGGAGGGAACCCUGAUGCAGCGCCGCCGGGUGAGUGAUAAAGGAAUUCGUUUCGUAAAACUCUGUUUUAUGGGAAGAAAAGGACUGUACCAUAGGAGAAAGCCCCGGCUAAAUACGU
This 479-nucleotide ribosomal RNA is filed under the name uncultured bacterium. Its description in RNAcentral is "partial 16S ribosomal RNA". It matches the Rfam family "Bacterial small subunit ribosomal RNA", at positions 28 to 506 of the family's 1533-position model. The record is from RNAcentral.